AAGUUCGAUUAUUUAUCUUUCCAUGCAAUCCUAUUAGCAUACAUCUAGACAGUUAUAUUCACAGUAUGGAAAAAUUAAAGUGCGAAAAAUAAGACUACGCUAUUACAUGGCUUCAGGAUGAGGGUACAUAAUUUAAAAGGGGAUAUAAAAUAUCUAAAUCUUAAUUAACGAGUACAAAAUUAAAAGGGUAUACAAAAUAAUAAAACCUAAUUAAACU
This 217-nucleotide long non-coding RNA is filed under the name Lathyrus oleraceus (garden pea). Its description in RNAcentral is "Pisum sativum (pea) long non-coding RNA (PSAT_LNC026857)". Lineage: Eukaryota; Viridiplantae; Streptophyta; Magnoliopsida; Fabales; Fabaceae. The record is from RNAcentral.